This is a long non-coding RNA of Schistocerca gregaria, 6368 nucleotides long. RefSeq lists it as uncharacterized. The record is from RefSeq and is a predicted model, not a curated record. Lineage: Eukaryota; Metazoa; Arthropoda; Insecta; Orthoptera; Acrididae. The transcript is spliced from 2 exons.
CAGUUGUCGGUCAUUUAUGCACCCGCUUCUGCUCCGCUGAAAGUGUCUUGGGGGAGGGCGAUCGAGGGUGGGGGUGGUCGCACUAGUGAAUGUUCCAGUUCAGUCCCACUUGCUGUCACCGUAGGGUAGCUGUGGGCUGAUUUGGCCCGAUCUACACGUACGCGGGUAUCGGGGCUGCGCCACCGGCCCAGGUACGGAGAUUACCCUACUCUGGUGGGAGGAGGCAGCGCUGGCUGCUGUGCGACGCUAGUGUAUUGACAAUUUUGCUUGUCUACCCGCUUGCGCUAGGUAGAGGAACACGACACUUUUGCUUGUCUGCCUGAUUACUCGGACACACCGACACGACAAAAUUGUGACACACGACAAAAUUGCUCUUUUGGAGUGCACCUCGGUGUGGGAGGUGCGAUGGCACUAUUGCCUUCUCGUUGUUCUUCGCUGUUGUUGAAGAGGACGGCUGGUCACCGCAUGGGCUAGCGCUUUGUUCCGCAGCGGCUGCGAUGUUCCCGUCGGUGCAGUGGUGGGUGCGCGGGCACUGCGCUAGCUCGACGAGUGCUGCUGCGCGGCUCUCGGUCCGCUCCCGUGGCUCUUCUCCCGAUCUAACCGAGGAUCUGGGGCAGUAUUUAUGUAUGUCUGGUGUAGGCCGCUCCCUCGCCGGUCCGCGCCCGCCCGGCCGCCCCCUCGCUGGUCCGCGCCUGUUUUGAUAAUCUUCCGCCGUCGUGACAUCUCUCUUGUUCUCUGUUCCAAUUCCGUGUUGCCCCCGGACUAUGUUCUGGAGUCUUAUCUGGUGGAAUGUCGUCUCCAGUCUGUUGCGCUCACAGCUCCAUCUGGGACCUAUCUGCUUGUACCUCAGCUGCAAUGGUAGAGGUCUUGUGUUGUCUCCGUUGCACUUUCAGAAGAUCCAAUGCUGGAUUCCAGGCAGAGCUGAGUUGAUAACCAGUGUCCCAGUUGAUGGGAUUUUCAGUGACUUUGAUCUCCAUCGAUUCUUUUAUGAUGCUGUCCCAAAAUCUUGGGGUCUGCGUCAAAAUAUUGGUUUUGUUGUAGUCCAUCGCAUGAUCUAGUUCCAGACAGUGUUCUGCUAUAGCAGAUUUGGUGACCUGUCUGAGUCCAGUAUGCCUCUGAUGAUCUUUGCAUCUUAUGUGGUCUGGCCAAUGUAUGACAUUCCACACUGGCAUGGUAUGCUGUAAAUGCCUGGCUUCUGAAGCCCCAAGUCAUCCUUUACACUGCCCAGUAGUGCACCAAUUUUAUUAGGAGGGCAGAACACACUUUUGAUGUUGUGUUUCCUAAGGAUCCUGCUGAUUUUAGCACAGAUUGGUCCAGCGAAUGGCAGAUAAGCUAUUUUCUUGGCCUCAUCCUGUUCUUCUUCUGGGUCCUGCGGUUGUUUGGCAGGAUGGAGGGCCUUUUGAAUGUCUCUGUUGGAAUAUCCAUUUCUUCUGAACACCUGUUGUAGACGUUCCAAUGCCAGGCUGUCAGGGUCUGACAGGAUCCGUGCCCGGUGGACCAGAGUUUUGUAGCGAAACAUUUCCUCUCCCAGUAGAUAGUGCAUAGUGUUCUCCACCUACCUUGCUUUGCUUGUUCAAUAUUGUCUUCCCAGUAGCUGUGUCCAUCUCACCUAAAUCACACUGCAGUUAAGAAGCCAGGAUCCUAGGUUAAGUUUUCCAAAAUAAAAAGUCAAGACUGUAUUCUUUGUCGAACACUUAUGACAACCACAGUGCGAUUUAUUUGUUAUCACUCUCGCACAAUAUUCACGAGUGCUUGAAUAUUUGACCGUUUAUGUUAAUACAUCAUACUUUAUAAUUUCCCAGGAUUAAAAUGAUCCUUUCUAAUUGGUUUUGAAGUUGACUGUUGGGUUUUAUUACUUAAAUAAUACGAGUGAGCUGUAUAAAUUGAAAUAUGCAGGACUAACAUAUGCAUCUGCAGUGGGAAUUCCCGACUUGUAACUGUGGCAGCCCUCUUGAACAGUAAUUUUUACCUACUACAAUUUACUUCAUUCUUAAUUAAUACAGUUACAAAGUUGAGUCUGGAGUGAUUUUAUGUAUAAAAAUCUCGGUAGCAAAAGUAUCAAAACAGAUCUCGGAAUUAUUCAGUAGUUCGGUCAAAAUUGGCACUGAAAGUCAUACAGGCUACAGGUUUAGAGUCUUAAUAUCUAUUUGACUAAUAGACUUUAGGUUAAUUUAAACACUUUGCUGGAGUCAGUAAAAUUUAGGCUUUCUUUUGGAUGCAGUCUUAUAGCUGAAUUCGAUCUAUUAGCUCAUUAAAAUUUUACUUAAUAUGUAUUGCACAAUAUAUGUCAUUGUUCAUAACGUUUAAUAGGAUGCAUUUCCAUUAAAACUAAUUAGGUCAUUACUUUCAGAAUAGACAUUAGAAUGUACUGAAAUAAUAGAUUUUAAAUUAAACUAUUUCUGAAUUCUGUGCUAUGAGGCUGAAAGCCAUAGAAUCUGUAGCCGGAAUCUGAGUAGUGAAAAUGAAAAAAAAAACAAAAGUUCAUUGCUCAACUAAGUUACUGAAGGAGAGUAAAACUAAAACAGGAUAGCGGUGGGCAACCCUACUUCGUUACACGUGGAGGGCAUCCGUGGGCCAGAAAGACAGAAGUCAGAAGAUGUGGGAUCCAGGCAGUAGGGUGGAGGAGGCAGCCGGUUGAAGUUCCACGAGUUGCUCUCGGGUGUGCAGAAUCCUCGCAUCAUCAUCGAGAAAGAGAGGUUCGUUCACAUAUUUUGUGGUAAUAGACACGCUGAGGUUGUUCUUUCAGUUUUAUGAGGGUAGCACAAUAUACUACGUAGUCGGUUGCAGUGCCACUAGGGCGGAUAUUAAACAGAAUAACGCCUUCAAUGUUCUAGAAGGCCAUCACAGUAACUUUACUGGCUGUGGGUGUUGCACUGAACUUUUUCUUUGGAGGACAGGUCGUUUGGCACCACUGAAUGAAUUGCCGUUUUGUGUCCGGUUGAAAGUGGUGAACUCGUGUUUCAUUGCCUUUGAUGACGGUAGACAAAAAAGUCACACUCGGCCUUGUAACGUACGAGCAGUUCCGUACAGGAGGUCCUCUGUAGUUCCGUACAAAGGGUCCUUCUGUGCUCUUUACAGCCUCCUGUUAGACGGGAAGUAACCCACUGGGCACACUUCUCAGAGUACCCCGACUGGUGGGUGAGCGUGUCGGCACCACCAGUGAAGACGUGCAGUCGUGCAACGGGGUGUCCGGUAGUGGACUGUCGAUCUCCUCGACUGAACGUCCGCACGUUCCAACAUUGCAGGAGUCACUGAUGUGUGUGGCUGGCCGGCACACGGGAGACGGGAUGUUUGUGUGGCCUCGUCACGAUGACGACACGCCUCGCCCGACGACUCGCCGUGCCUCUGUUCGUUGCCGGGUCUCCGUAGACGUUCCCCGAGUGCCUGUGAAUAUCUGCGUUCCUCUGGUUUUCACCGAAAGUGACUGACAGAUCCGUGCUUGGAGCACGCCUCCAUUACAGACGCCAUUUUGAAGGCUGUGUUUAGUGCCACCACCUGUUGGAUCUUCGUGCAACUACAGGGACUGAACUGGGAAUAUUCCACAGUUUUCCAUAACAAAGUCAGCACUUUUUCAACUGAAAUUGACAGAGAAAAAAAUGUGGUGCAUUACUUACUAAAUGCCCCUUUUAUAAAAUACAGGUGUGCCUAAUGGAUUAAUACAAGGUACUAAAGUAGUUAUGAAAAUACAACGCUUCUCCAUAGUAUCAGUAAUAUAUUAAAACAUUUCCAGGCCAUAAAAAUUAGUUAUCCUAAAGAUUCUGCUUUACAAAUAUUUUUCCAAAUAUAAUUUUUCGUGAAAUAAUUAAUAAUACUGUUAUGUUUCUAAAAUGUGUUUAGCUUUUUCAUAAAGAUAUCUAUAUUUUCUAAAAACUAAGUGUACACUGUCAUUAAAUGAUGUAUUUAUUUUGUAACAACUAAGUACACAGUGUCAUUUUCUCAUGGCAUAUUUUGAAAUUAUUAAACUUUCCUAACUAUGUAAGCAUCUUUUGCUUAUAUUAUGUUUCAAAAGUUUGUAAUCAUAAAAAUGUAAGUUCAUUUAGAGUUACCUGUACUCAUAAAAGCAGAAUCUGCUUUACUUAUGUUUUAUGACUAAGAAGUUUGAACAUGGUUUAAAUUCUAUUUGAGUUUUGUGUCAAAAACAACACUUCAGUAGACACUUCUUGUGAGCUUUUUCUCAUACUGCUAAUGAACUGAGCAUUUAGUGUUAGUUUCCCCAUAUGCGCCUUCAUAGAAAACACUCUUAAAUUCUAGCAGAUGAACAAUUUAAAUUUUUAAUGUUGUAAUAAAUCAGCAUGUGCAAUGCUAGUGUGAAGAAGGAUUUUCACUUUGUUAUUUAAGAGCCAGAGAAAAUGCGAUAAGCCUGAAUUGUGGACAGCACGUAUACAACGUUUUGUUACAUUGUUAUUCGAACUUUUGGUUAACACUGGCACUGUCCAAGCCGGACAAAUAUGUACUGAAAUAGCCAUGACAAAUGCUAAAAGAGUAAAGUAUUAAAAUACCAAACUCCAAGAAUGAUUUUUACAUAAUACUGUAAAGACUGACCUCACAAGUAUGAUCAAACAGUGUCAGUUCAGUGUCCAACGGACAUGUAACAAAGCAAUUUGGGAUCUCUUUACUUCUUUUCUUGUUUUGCCAUCUGCCUCCUUAAAUUCAUUUUUGAUAUAAAUUUCGGAAUAAGCUGCAUUUUCAGAAAAGAGAAAGGUUGGCCCUCGGUCUUAAGAAAUAUAGCACCAGAAGAAACUGCUGAAAAGAAAGAAUUUUGAUAUAUUCAGUUAAUUGAAUGAGUUAUGUUUUAAUUGUAAUUUCUGUAACCUAAACAUCGAACAAUGUGCAGUUUCAGCUCCUAUUAUUGUGAGGAUUUAUUAAGGCCCAAUUUUUGGCCCAGAGACAGUCCACAGUCUCUCUCUCUCUCUCUCUCUCUCUCUCUCUCUCUCUCUCUCUCUCUGUUUCUUUUUUUUUCAUUACACAGAAUGUCACUCAUGUGCCAAUUAUAACUUUCACUGUUUUAGUGAACAAAACAAUCUACAGAUAUACUAUGGUUGCACAGAGGUAGGUGUGUUUUUUUGAUUACAUUGCAUAGCCUAUACAGAGUUGUCAGUUUUAAAAAAACCUACUUUAGCUGUAAUAACUACAGAAUUAUCCACUAAAUUUUCAUGUAUGUGGAAAUACAUACUUAUAAAAAAAAUAGUUAUCAUAUGAACAAAGAAAGUGUCCCUUCAGUUUGUCAUUGAGAAUUUUCCUCGUUGCUUUCUGUGGUGUACAAAAAUUUUAACCUGCUCAUUAAAUCCAUUGUGUGUUUUUGAAAGUUGUAUAAUAUCGUCAGAUCUAUGUUUACCAAUGGGUGUCCAGUGUUUUGUGUGUUGUUACAUUGCUGAUUCGUUAUGUCUGUUAACAGUUGCGUUCAAUGUAUCUAAUUCAAAAAUUCCUGCCAGUUGUAGGUUUUACAUGUGCUUUUUUUAUAUUACUGAGUCCAGAAUUUAUCACUUUCAUUGUUUAAGAUGCAAACUAAUGUCUGUUAGUGGACAAAGCUGCUUUAAUUUUCUCUAUAACGUUCAUAUUUGGCAGUGGAGCCACUGGAACAAAUUAUAAAGGUAAACAUAAUAAAAAAAUAAUGUGAAGGUCAAUGGCAGAGCUGACAGAACAAUACGUAGCAAGCACAAACAGCAGCUGAAGUACACCACUAUUUGGACUUUAAGACAUAUGACAAACCACCCCUUUUUUAGGCCAUAACUGCUAAUGCGAUGUGCAGGAUAAUCUGGCAGGGUUGCUUAUCUUUCGUUAAUGCAUACAUCCUCAUUGAAUGAGACCUGCAGGAUGUAAUGAGUGAAUAAGUUAGUUUUCUUGUGUUCUCUAACUCACACCAAAACUUUUAGGAAAACUGGAUGUGUGGAAAACAGCUUUUAGUGCUGCCUUACAUGUCAGUGAUGUGUGAACUUGCAUUUCUGUACAAAAAAAUGUCAGUUUUUUGGUUGGUUGUCUGGAUAAAGGUUGCCAUGUAUUCUUAACAUAUCUCAUGUUGAAUUUCAUGGGAAUAAGUGAUUCCAUUCACUGCAACACUUGUAAGGAUUCUCAAAUUUAUGUGCCUAUAAACAAAAUGGUAUUUUAUUGUAAUUGUUUUCUGAAUUUCUAUCUAAAAUUUUAACCCCAUGUUUUAUGACUGGUAAUAAAAUAGCUGUUGGCUAUCCAGUGUGACAAACAGGUUAACUGUAUGGGUGUAUGUACCAACAGCAGCAGUGUCAGUUGGACUGAUGCUCGUACGUUUGAUAGUUAUAUUGGAAUGUGUGAUUUAAUUAAAUUGACUCUACAUUACCACCUGUAACAUUAUGUAAUUGUGGGAUUGGAAUCAAGUAAAUUGUGAGAUGACUUCA